UUGCUAUCUGCGAUAUGGAAGAUUCGAACCUACCGCAGGUUCUGGUCUCACGCAGUGAGACAACGGAGCCGCUUGCGGCGACGGCCCGAAGGGCGAGCGAAGCGAGUCAUCCUGCACGACCCACCA
RNAcentral lists this small RNA (126 nucleotides) under Salmonella enterica subsp. enterica serovar Enteritidis. RNAcentral's name for it is "RtT sRNA". It matches the Rfam family "RtT RNA". From Rfam's summary of the family: This family represents a bacterial cis-regulatory element known as RtT RNA. The exact function of RtT is unknown although it is thought that it may be involved in changing the cellular response in relation to amino acid starvation. Lineage: Bacteria; Pseudomonadati; Pseudomonadota; Gammaproteobacteria; Enterobacterales; Enterobacteriaceae. The record is from RNAcentral.